Molecule: long non-coding RNA, 251 nt
Filed under: Pelobates cultripes (western spadefoot toad)
Lineage: Eukaryota; Metazoa; Chordata; Amphibia; Anura; Pelobatidae
Source: RNAcentral
GGGUACUCAUAGGUAGCCAUGUUGCCAGAGGGAGGGGGUCACCCAGCCCACAAUGGUGUCACACGUCCAUUAUUAUGGUCCAGUAGCAGGUAGAGCCCCAGAAAUAUGGAUGGGGGGGGGGGUUCACCCCCUAGUAAUAACAGGUCUGAAUGUGGGGCCAGUAGCCCCGCUGAGGGGUAGGAGGGUCCAUAUAGCGAGAAGCUGACUCACAGACCACUCAGGUAUUAUAUUAGGAUACACUUUUGAAGUGU